UGCCUGUAAUCCCAGGACUUGGAAGCUGAGGCAGGAGGAUCACCACAAGUUCAAGACCAACCUGGGCAGAGUAAAAGGGGAAAAUAGGAGAAGAGAGGAAAAUUAACAUCUCUCCGUGGGCCCUGCUAAGUAGCUGGCCCAGGGCUGGGCACUGGGCAGAUCCUCUUAGCUGUUCUUCUUGGUGUCUCCAUUUUGCAUUUAGGAAACCGAGAGGCAAAGCUGUGAGGAACCCUGCCCCAGAUCUCACAUGUGUGAAAUGAGGGGUGGAGAAUGCUUUGAGGAUUCCAGUGGAGUUUUGAGGAUGUUCAUGUGUGGGUUAGAAAAUUCCAUGCUUGUCCAUUGAAAAUAGACAGAAAGCUAAGAACAGCUGUGAGGGUCCAGUUUGGAGAGAAGGCAUGGAAAGCGUUGCUGGGAGACAGGGUCAGCAGCCAGCCUGGUGUUCAGCCAGAAGGAGAGCCCCAGAAGGAUUGGGAAGGCCAGAGAGAGUGGAAAUUCCUUGGACUUGGAGGCCACCCCUGGGCAGCCUGUGUGAAAAUGGAGGAGGUUGAAGAGCAAGCCCUCAGCUGCCCUGGAGCCCUGCAGAAUCCUGGUCUGGACCAAGAAGUAGGAGUUUGAGAUCCAUUUCUGGAGAAGCAAAGGACAAAGGACUCUCCCCUGCGAGCCAGGAAGGGCCCAGCAAAGCAAGGGGGCUUGGGCAGCCCAGCCUUGUCCCUAUCCCCUGUAACAUCUCCUCUCUCAGCCGCCCACCACUAGGCAUGAUACAGCAGUCCUCAAAGUCACCCCUCUGGCCUCCUUUCCCUUUCUCCUGCCCUUCCCUGCUAUCUGCCCUGCCUGCUCCUCUCCCCUCCCCCGAAGAGCAAAUUCCUAUUCUGAACUGGAAGCUUUUCCCCAGGAAUCUGGGAGGCCUGGGGCCGAGAGGGGAAGAAAAGGCCUAAAGGAAGGAAGGUGGCAGAAGGAGGGCUAACCAGAGCCACCAUCCCAAUCCCACCAUUCAUCCUGUAGGAGAUGGAGAACCAGACAUCUCAGCUCCUCUGGGCCUUCAUUCCUUUGAUGGCCUCCAUUGCCUUUGAGAACUGGGAGGAGAGGGGAGUUGGUGCUCACUAAUUGCUAAGGUGCUUUCAAGCUCCGCGUUUGUUUCCUGGAGCCUGAAUCCUCCUCUGUCCCAUCUCACAGUUGAGGGGAGACCAGGAAAGAGGAAGGUGGGCUCCUGGUGAUGAAUGUGGUGGCUGGCUAGCAGCUGAGGAUGGCUGAAAGUGGGGACAGAUGAUGGGACUCCCAAAGUGCCAAGGACAGCAAAGGUCCAAAUUGCACUUGCAACUGUUCGUUAAACAAAUAGGAAGAAAUGGAGGCUGUGGUGCCAAUGGAAGACUGCUUAAAAUUCAAGCGUCUCACGUUGCACUCCAUUAUUCAGCCCUUCGUUUUCAUUCAUUCAUCUGCCUACACCACAAACAGUCCAGGAGCCACUGUUGCGUGGCUGACACUGUCCUGAGUGAUGAGAAUAUAGUCAUGAAUACAUUCACAGCCUCGUGGGAGUUGACAAAAGACAUAAUCAGAUGAUUCUCAGACUGCCUGAGAAGUGCUGGGACAGCAGUUACAGUGGGUGCCGCGGGAGUACCAAGUGCUGCUGGGGGUGGGAGGGCAUGGAGGAGGGCCCACACCCAGCCAAACAGGGC
Heterocephalus glaber (naked mole-rat) is the source of this 1673-nucleotide long non-coding RNA. The record is from Ensembl. Lineage: Eukaryota; Metazoa; Chordata; Mammalia; Rodentia; Bathyergidae.